Molecule: microRNA, 18 nt
Filed under: Corchorus capsularis
Lineage: Eukaryota; Viridiplantae; Streptophyta; Magnoliopsida; Malvales; Malvaceae
Description: sRNA CCACVL1_10314
Source: RNAcentral
UUAUUUUUUGAGAAUACA